This 433-nucleotide ribosomal RNA is filed under the name uncultured bacterium. Its description in RNAcentral is "partial 16S ribosomal RNA". It matches the Rfam family "Bacterial small subunit ribosomal RNA", at positions 29 to 507 of the family's 1533-position model. The record is from RNAcentral.
AACGAACGCUGGCGGCAUGCCUAACACAUGCAAGUCGAACGGGACCUUCGGGUCUAGUUGAGCACGUGUGCGUGACGCGGGGGAACCUACCCUUAGGUUCGGAAUCACUCACCUAAGGGGGUGCUAAUAACAGUUAAUGUAUUCGGACCAAAGAUUUAUUGCCUUUGGAUGGGGGCGGGUUGGAUUAGGUAGUUGGUAGGGUAAAAGCCUAGCAAGGCGACGAUGCAUAGCUGGUCUGAGAGGAGGACCAGUCAGACUUGGACUGAGACACGGCCUACAAUCCUACGCAAGGCAGCAGUGGGGAAUACUGGACAAUGGGGCCAAGCCUGAUCCAGCAAUGCCGGGUGAGUGAUGAAGGCGUUAGGGUUGUAAAGUCCCUUUACCCGGGAUGAUAAUGACAGUACCGGGAGAAUAAGCUCCGGCUAACUACGUG